This 497-nucleotide ribosomal RNA is filed under the name uncultured bacterium. Its description in RNAcentral is "partial 16S ribosomal RNA". It matches the Rfam family "Bacterial small subunit ribosomal RNA", at positions 28 to 507 of the family's 1533-position model. The record is from RNAcentral.
GACGAACGCUGGCGGCGUGCCUAAUACAUGCAAGUAGAACGCUGAAGAGAGGAGCUUGCUCUUCUUGGAUGAGUUGCGAACGGGUGAGUAACGCGUAGGUAACCUGCCUUGUAGCGGGGGAUAAUUAUUGGAAACGAUAGCUAAUACCGCAUAACAAUGGAUGACACAUGUCAUUUAUUUGAAAGGGGCAAUUGCUCCACUACAAGAUGGACCUGCGUUGUAUUAGCUAGUAGGUGAGGUAAUGGCUCACCUAGGCGACGAUACAUAGCCGACCUGAGAGGGUGAUCGGCCACACUGGGACUGAGACACGGCCCAGACUCCUACGGGAGGCAGCAGUAGGGAAUCUUCGGCAAUGGGGGCAACCCUGACCGAGCAACGCCGCGUGAGUGAAGAAGGUUGUCGGAUCGUAAAGCUCUGUUGUAAGUCAAGAACGGGUGUGAGAGUGGAAAGUUCACACUGUGACGGUAGCUUACCAGAAAGGGACGGCUAACUACGUG